UACAGAGGGGGCAAGCGUUGUUCGGAAUUACUGGGCGUAAAGGGCGCGUAGGCGGCCUGUUAAGUCGAACGUGAAAUCCCCGGGCUCAACCCGGGAACUGCGUCCGAUACUGGCAGGCUUGAAUCCGGGAGAGGGAUGCGGAAUUCCAGGUGUAGCGGUGAAAUGCGUAGAUAUCUGGAGGAACACGGUGGCGAAGGCGGCAUCCUGGACCGGCAUUGACGCUGAGGC
RNAcentral lists this ribosomal RNA (228 nucleotides) under uncultured bacterium. Its description in RNAcentral is "partial 16S ribosomal RNA". It matches the Rfam family "Bacterial small subunit ribosomal RNA", at positions 524 to 752 of the family's 1533-position model. The record is from RNAcentral.